RNAcentral lists this unclassified non-coding RNA (346 nucleotides) under soil metagenome. RNAcentral describes it as "partial contains 5.8S ribosomal RNA, internal transcribed spacer 2, and large subunit ribosomal RNA". The stretch from base 1 to 121 matches the Rfam family "5.8S ribosomal RNA", at positions 35 to 154 of the family's 154-position model. The record is from RNAcentral.
GAUGAAGAAACGCAGCGAAAUGCGAUACGUAAUGUGAAUUGCAGAAUUCAGUGAAUCAUCGAGUCUUUGAACGCACAUUGCGCCCCCUGGUAUUCCGGGGGGCAUGCCUGUCCGAGCGUCAUUGCUGCCCUCAAGCACGGCUUGUGUGUUGGGCCUCCGUCCUCCUCCCGGGGGACGGGCCCCAAAGGCAGCGGCGGCACCGCGUCCGGUCCUCGAGCGUAUGGGGCUUCGUCACCCGCUCUUGUAGGCCCGGCCGGCGCUUGCCGACACAUCAAUCUUUUUUCCAGGUUGACCUCGGAUCAGGUAGGGAUACCCGCUGAACUUAAGCAUAUCAAUAAGCGGAGGA